AAUUCUCAACCUUAUCAGUUUUCUGUAUAAGGCUUGGAUGUGGGGGUCUGCAGGUCCACUACCGUGGUCUGCUCCUCUAAAAUGUAUUAGCUGGGUUCAGUUACCUUGUCUAUUGGUGUGAUAAUUAUCUACAUCAUUGGCAGUUUAGCUUAUAGACCUGCUUCUAACCGUCCUUUGGACAAUACCUUGACAU
RNAcentral lists this unclassified non-coding RNA (193 nucleotides) under Coprinopsis pseudomarcescibilis. RNAcentral's name for it is "partial internal transcribed spacer 2". Lineage: Eukaryota; Fungi; Basidiomycota; Agaricomycetes; Agaricales; Psathyrellaceae. The record is from RNAcentral.